RNAcentral lists this long non-coding RNA (213 nucleotides) under Mytilus galloprovincialis (Mediterranean mussel). Lineage: Eukaryota; Metazoa; Mollusca; Bivalvia; Mytilida; Mytilidae. The record is from RNAcentral.
AGCAAUUCCCCGACAUAUUUUCCGUAUGCAAAGUGACCUCAGUGUGACACAUCUCGUAAAAAUCCGGUGAUCGCAAUACGCAUGGAUGUCCUUAAAAUAAACUAUUAUCUGAUUGUACAUUGUACAUGUUAAACACGUGCUCAAUAUCCAUGCUUUUUGUUGAUUGUUGACAAACAGGUGAUAAUCGUUAAACUUUGGCUUCAAAACACGAAC